Molecule: long non-coding RNA, 361 nt
Filed under: Coturnix japonica (Japanese quail)
Lineage: Eukaryota; Metazoa; Chordata; Aves; Galliformes; Phasianidae
Description: lncRNA (ENSCJPG00005002342.1)
Source: RNAcentral
AGGGCGAUUUUGGGGUCAAUGGGAUUUGGGGUGAAAAAGGGGAUUUUGGGUGGGGGUUUUGGGGUCAAAAAGUGGGAUUUUGGGGUCAAUGGGAUUUUGGGGUGAAAAUGGGGGAUUUUGGGGUCAAGAAUGGGGAGAUUUGGGGUGAAAAAGGGGGAUUUUGGGGUCAGAAAUGGGGAUUUUUGAGGGGGAUUUUGGGUUGAAAAAGGGGGAUUUUGGGGUCAAUGGGAUUUUGGGGUGAAAAAGGGGAUUUUGGGGUCAAUGGGGUUUUGGGGGUGAAAAAGGGCCAUUUCUGGGUCAAGAAUGCGGUAGAUUUUGGGGUGAAAAGGGGAUUUUGGGGUCAGAAAAGGGGAUUUGGGUG